This 73-nucleotide transfer RNA is filed under the name Sneathia vaginalis. RNAcentral's name for it is "[Leptotrichia] amnionii tRNA". It matches the Rfam family "tRNA". From Rfam's summary of the family: Transfer RNA (tRNA) molecules are approximately 80 nucleotides in length. Their secondary structure includes four short double-helical elements and three loops (D, anti-codon, and T loops). Further hydrogen bonds mediate the characteristic L-shaped molecular structure. tRNAs have two regions of fundamental functional importance: the anti-codon, which is responsible for specific mRNA codon recognition, and the 3' end, to which the tRNAs corresponding amino acid is attached (by aminoacyl-tRNA synthetases). tRNAs cope with the degeneracy of the genetic code in two manners: having more than one tRNA (with a specific anti-codon) for a particular amino acid; and 'wobble' base-pairing, i.e. permitting non-standard base-pairing at the 3rd anti-codon position. Lineage: Bacteria; Fusobacteriati; Fusobacteriota; Fusobacteriia; Fusobacteriales; Leptotrichiaceae. The record is from Rfam by way of RNAcentral.
GGGCUAUUAGCUCAGCUGGUAGAGCACAUGACUCUUAAUCAUGGUGUCACUGGUUCGACCCCAGUAUAGCCCA